RNAcentral lists this ribosomal RNA (88 nucleotides) under uncultured fungus. RNAcentral describes it as "partial 5.8S ribosomal RNA". It matches the Rfam family "5.8S ribosomal RNA", at positions 70 to 154 of the family's 154-position model. From Rfam's summary of the family: 5.8S ribosomal RNA (5.8S rRNA) is a component of the large subunit of the eukaryotic ribosome. It is transcribed by RNA polymerase I as part of the 45S precursor that also contains 18S and 28S rRNA. Functionally, it is thought that 5.8S rRNA may be involved in ribosome translocation. The record is from RNAcentral. Lineage: Eukaryota; Fungi.
GAUUGCAGAAUUCAGUGGAAUCAUCGAAUCUUUGAACGCACCUUGCGCCCCCUGGUAUUCCGGGGAGCACACCUGUUCGAGUGUCUUG